RNAcentral lists this ribosomal RNA (379 nucleotides) under Ebria sp. Its description in RNAcentral is "partial small subunit ribosomal RNA". It matches the Rfam family "Eukaryotic small subunit ribosomal RNA", at positions 582 to 975 of the family's 1831-position model. Lineage: Eukaryota; Cercozoa; Thecofilosea; Ebriacea. The record is from RNAcentral.
AUUCCAGCUCCAAUAGCGUAUAUUAAAGUUGUUGCAGUUCAAAAACUCGUAGUUGGAUUUCUGGUUUGAUGCCCUGGCCCGCUGCUAUUUUGGUAGUGUGUGCCGGUUGUGCGCCUGCCAUCCUUCUAGGGAACGUUCCUUCUCUUCACUGAGCCGGGUUCGUGAUCUAGAUCGUUUACUUUGAAAAAAGUAGAGUGUAUGAAUAUAUUAGCACGGAAUAAUAAUCUAGGAUUUCGGUCAUAUUUUGUUGGUUUCUGUAACUGAAGUAAUGAUUGAUAGGGAUAGUUGGGGGUGCUAGUAUUGAGCGGCCAGAGGUGAAAUUCUUGGAUUCGCUCAAGACUGACUUAUGCGAAAGCAUUCACCAAGGAUGUCUUCAUCA